Molecule: non-coding RNA, 74 nt
Organism: Klebsiella pneumoniae subsp. pneumoniae
Lineage: Bacteria; Pseudomonadati; Pseudomonadota; Gammaproteobacteria; Enterobacterales; Enterobacteriaceae
Source: Rfam
CGCGGGGUGGAGCAGCCUGGUAGCUCGUCGGGCUCAUAACCCGAAGGUCGUCGGUUCAAAUCCGGCCCCCGCAA